AUCACAGCAGGCUUUUGAGAUCUAGAAAGAAAAGCCCCCAGCUGCGUGCUCUGCUGCCUAGGGUGGAGGUUGGUCUCUGCUAAGGAUGGGCCAUCUCUGCCCUCUGCAUCCGCAUCGGCGGCAGCAAAACGGGGUUACAGAACCACACUUGGGAAGGGGGUGAACCCGAGUCUGGUCUUGGCUGCGAAGUUGUGGGACUGUGC
RNAcentral lists this long non-coding RNA (203 nucleotides) under Homo sapiens (human). RNAcentral describes it as "LHRI_LNC1845.1". Lineage: Eukaryota; Metazoa; Chordata; Mammalia; Primates; Hominidae. The record is from RNAcentral.